This 190-nucleotide unclassified non-coding RNA is filed under the name uncultured Rozellomycota. RNAcentral's name for it is "uncultured Cryptomycota sequence contains ITS1". The record is from RNAcentral. Lineage: Eukaryota; Fungi; Rozellomycota.
ACAAAUCUAUUGAGUGCAGCAGUCCUAGCGACUGCAUGCACACAUAAGCCCUAAAGCGUAGCACUUCGGUGUGACCGCUUUAGUGUGUUUGGAGGAGUCGAUCUUUUCGAUUCCUCCACAGGUCAUCCUUCUGGGUGACCACAUUGACGCUUGUAUGUUUGACAGAGUUUAUUAUGACAAUAAAAAUAGA